UUCCAGGGAUGGGAAUCGAACCCACAGUGUUCCGUUUACCGGGCAGAUGCCAUGCCCACUAGGCUACCCUGGA
This 73-nucleotide transfer RNA is filed under the name Cordylochernes scorpioides. Its description in RNAcentral is "tRNA-Thr". Lineage: Eukaryota; Metazoa; Arthropoda; Arachnida; Pseudoscorpiones; Chernetidae. The record is from RNAcentral.